GAAAUGCGAUAAGUAAUGUGAAUUGCAGAAUUCAGUGAAUCAUCGAAUCUUUGAACGCACAUUGCGCUCACCAGUAUUCUGGCGAGCAUGCCUGUUCGAGCGUCAUUUCAACCAUCAAGCUCUGCUUGCGUUGGGGAUCCGCGGCUGCCCGCGGUCCCUCAAAAACAGUGGCGGGCUCGCUAGUCACACCGAGCGUAGUAACUCUACAUCGCUAUGGUCGUGCGGCGGGUUCUUGCCGUAAAACCCCCAAUUUCUAAGGUUGACCUCGGAUCAGGUAGGAAUACCCGCUGAACUUAAGC
RNAcentral lists this unclassified non-coding RNA (299 nucleotides) under plant metagenome. RNAcentral's name for it is "partial contains 5.8S ribosomal RNA, internal transcribed spacer 2, and large subunit ribosomal RNA". The stretch from base 1 to 105 matches the Rfam family "5.8S ribosomal RNA", at positions 50 to 154 of the family's 154-position model. The record is from RNAcentral.